GAUUUCUGGUUCGGCGCACUUGGCCCGCCUCGGUUUACGGGGUCGCGUGCCGGUGUGCGCCAUCCAUCCUUCGGAAAAACGUAUCUACCCUUCACUGGGCCGGAUACGCUAUUCCGAUCUUUUACUUUGAAAAAAUUAGAGUGUUUAAAGCAGGCUCGCGGCUGUGAAUACAUUAGCAUGGAAUAAUAAUCUAGGACUUCGGUUCUAUUUUGUUGGUUUCUAUAACUGAAGUAAUGAUUGAUAGGGAUAGUUGGGGGUGCUAGUAUUGGCCGGCCAGAGGUGAAAUUCUUGGAUUCGGUCAAGACUAACUUAUGCGAAAGCAUU
Molecule: ribosomal RNA, 324 nt
Filed under: uncultured cercomonad
Lineage: Eukaryota; Cercozoa; Cercomonadida; Cercomonadidae
Description: SSU rRNA
Rfam family: Eukaryotic small subunit ribosomal RNA (bases 110-324)
Source: RNAcentral